AGUCACAUGUUGUUUACUGCCUCAAAUUUGAAUCUGCUAGAGGUUUUUCCAACAGCAUUUUAUUUUUCUUGUAUGUUACAGAAGACAAUGAGAAUGAAGAUGAAGAUGAUGAGGAAGUGUGAACGACCUCUACAAAGAAGCCUCGAUGCCGCUGGCCGAUGUUAUGGCCCGCUACAGGAACCCAAGUCUUCAGGGUAAACUCCCAGCCUCUCCGUUCCUUCGAGCUAAAAAGGAUGACCCUGGUGCAUCCUCAUCCUCCGCAGACGCAGGCUGUAGCAGUAGCAGCAAUGUAUCGAAUUCUGAAAGUGAAGUCAGCAGUUCAAGUGGUGGAGCCUCCUCUUCAAAGAGUGAAUCCAAGAACAAUGUUGAGGCUGCCUCAUCGUCUGGGUCUGGGGCAGGGCCAUCUUCGACGUCCUCUGCACCUUCAUCAUCAUCACACGCAAAAGAAGUUUCCAAUAGCGCUCCUGACAGUAGUAGCUGUAAUAAUAUUGCUUCUGAAGCCAGUUCCUCCUCCAAAAAAGAGACAGCUGAAAAGUCAUGGUGAAUGGCAUCGCUCAUGGGGCCUCUGGUGACUCGGUAUCAAGCUCGCAGAACAGCAAAGGAAGCAAGAUGGAGGCAGAAAGUGAAUGUCAAGGAAGCGGCGAUGCUGGAAAGUCGGCCAAAAGCAGCAAUGAUGACACAAUUUCGUCAAGUGACAGCCCCUCAGGCAAAUCACCCCACAAAAAGCGUGUCGUACCCACACGUGUAGGCUCGACCAAAUUGUAUGAGAAAUUACUAACGCAAGGCAACGGAGUUGACUCCAGCGAGUCAGAUGAGGAGGAUGACCCAGCAUUUCCUGGACAUGCGGCGGAAAGGUAAUACAGGGGAAAGCAGACAAAAUUUGAACAAUCACCUACUUCCUUUCGUUCAAGGGCUCAUACAAUACCAUCCUAACGUACCAUUCAGCCAGCGAGAGGUUAGGUUAAAACCUCUUAGUCAAAAACAUUGGAUUUUCUAGUAUGCAAAAAAUGAACUGUUGGUCGAAAUUGAUGUAAAUCCCACUAAGAGAGGGAAUGCGCUUUGAAGCUUUCCCCUCUAUUUAAAAUUGUUGGCAGACUCUAAAUAAAUUUAUCAUACAUUCCACA
This 1124-nucleotide long non-coding RNA is filed under the name Bemisia tabaci. RNAcentral describes it as "lncRNA ENSSSA3NGG011483". The record is from RNAcentral. Lineage: Eukaryota; Metazoa; Arthropoda; Insecta; Hemiptera; Aleyrodidae.